GACGAACGCUGGCGGCGUGCCUAAUACAUGCAAGUUGAGCGCUGAAGGUUGGUACUUGUACCGACUGGAUGAGCAGCGAACGAGUGAGUAACGCGUGGGGAAUCUGCCUUUGAGCGGGGGACAACAUUUGGAAACGAAUGCUAAUACCGCAUAAAAACUUUAAACACAAGUUUUAAGUUUGAAAGAUGCAAUUGCAUCACUCAAAGAUGAUCCCGCGUUGUAUUAGCUAGUUGGUGAGGUAAAGGCUCACCAAGGCGAUGAUACAUAGCCGACCUGAGAGGGUGAUCGGCCACAUUGGGACUGAGACACGGCCCAAACUCCUACGGGAGGCAGCAGUAGGGAAUCUUCGGCAAUGGACGAAAGUCUGACCGAGCAACGCCGCGUGAGUGAAGAAGGUUUUCGGAUCGUAAAACUCUGUUGGUAGAGAAGAACGUUGGUGAGAGUGGAAAGCUCAUCAAGUGACGGUAACUACCCAGAAAGGGACGGCUAACUACGUG
Molecule: ribosomal RNA, 497 nt
Filed under: uncultured bacterium
Lineage: Bacteria
Description: partial 16S ribosomal RNA
Rfam family: Bacterial small subunit ribosomal RNA
Source: RNAcentral